GACGAACCGUGCGAACGUUAUUCGGAAUCACUGGGCUUAAAGCGCGUGUAGGCGGCCCGGCACGUCCGUCGCUGAAAUCCCCCGGCUCAACCGGGGAAGGGGCGUGGAUACGACCGGGCUGGAGGGGGGUAGGGGGAGCCGGAACUUCCGGUGGAGCGGUGAAAUGCGUUGAGAUCGGAAGGAACGCCCGUGGCGAAAGCGGGCUCCUGGACCCCACCUGACGCUGAGACGCGAAAGCCAGGGGAGCGAACGGG
Molecule: ribosomal RNA, 254 nt
Filed under: uncultured bacterium
Lineage: Bacteria
Description: partial 16S ribosomal RNA
Rfam family: Bacterial small subunit ribosomal RNA
Source: RNAcentral